RNAcentral lists this long non-coding RNA (910 nucleotides) under Carica papaya (papaya). RNAcentral describes it as "long non-coding RNA (CPAP_LNC003784)". The record is from RNAcentral. Lineage: Eukaryota; Viridiplantae; Streptophyta; Magnoliopsida; Brassicales; Caricaceae.
UACAUAGUUUGUCAAAAGUUCUGGUCUAAAAUCAAGAUUAUAAGUAAAUAUACGAGAAAUAAAAGAAUGAGUAGCACUUGUAUCGAUCAGAGUCUUGAAAGAAGUGUCAUGAAUAGAAAGCAUAUCCUAGAUAAGAACAAGAGUAAAAAGAGCAUCAGGUUCAUCAAGUGGCACAUGCGCCCUUGUGCUAUAGGUCAGGCGGUAUCCUUUGGUCACUGGGGGUAGUCCUAUAAAGUGUUGGGUGCUUUCGCACCAAUAACAGACAUUAUUGAUACACUAAUAGGGUAGGUCACCAUGCGAGCAACCACAAUACUGACAGGGUUGGUUAGGUCGGGCAGGUUGAACUGUAGGUGGAGGCAAGGCAGGGAGAACGGCAACUCUAAUUCGUUUAUCUGGGUGGGUACUUACUAGGUUAGGUAAUCUCCUCAUAAGCUGUUGGGAUUUUUGUUGGGUACGAAAUCACGCAAUGCAUUGGUGCUUGGCCGAGAUGAGAUCUUUGGCCACUAGGCAUGUUUGAACACCUCCACAUACGAAUUGAGUUUCAAUAUCGCGACCCGGUCAUAGAUAUUGGCACGAACGCCCUUGAGAAACUUCCUAGAUUUUCAGCUUUCGAGGGUAACAUUAGAGGGACAAACCUAGAUAAUUGAACAAAACGGGUUGCAUACUCGGCAACCAUCAGACUCCUUUACUGGAGGUCCUGAAAUUCCUCCUUCUUUUCCCAAACACAGGCAGGGAAUAAGUUAUCAAAGAAUGCAUCCAUGAAAACUUCCCAAGUGGCAAGGGAAGGCAGUACUUCCCUUUUAAGUCGCCACCAGUGUUCUACUUUGCCAUUUAGCAUGAAAGCUGCAAGGGAAACUUUUUGUUCCUUGGUCAAGUCUAGGAUAGAGAAGAGCUUCUCUAUCUGUAGGAU